CGUGGAGUCCAAGCGUUAUCCGGAUUUACUGGGCGUAAAGCGUUCGUAGGUGUCCCAUCAAGUCUUCGGUGAAAUCUCCGGGCUUAACUCGGAAACUGUCGAGGAAACUGGUGGGAUCGAGUGCGGUAGAGGCAGAUGGAAUUCCUGGUGUAGGGGUAAAGUCCGUUGAUAUCAGGAAGAACACCAGUGGCGAAGGCGAUCUGCUGGGCCGCAACUGACACUGAGGAACGAAAGCGUGGGGAGCGAACGGGAUUAGAUACCCCGGUAGUCCACGCCGUAAACGAUGGGCACUAGGCAUCCGAGGCAUAGACCCUUGGGUGUCGAAGCUAACGCGUCAAGUGCCCCGCCUGGGAGUACGGCCGCAAGGCUA
RNAcentral lists this ribosomal RNA (370 nucleotides) under uncultured organism. RNAcentral's name for it is "bacterial SSU rRNA". It matches the Rfam family "Bacterial small subunit ribosomal RNA", at positions 526 to 896 of the family's 1533-position model. The record is from RNAcentral.